This 34-nucleotide small nuclear RNA is filed under the name Cervus elaphus hippelaphus. The record is from RNAcentral. Lineage: Eukaryota; Metazoa; Chordata; Mammalia; Artiodactyla; Cervidae.
AUCGCUUCUCAGCCUUUUGGCUAAGAUCAAGUGU